This 658-nucleotide ribosomal RNA is filed under the name Staphylococcus aureus. RNAcentral's name for it is "partial 23S ribosomal RNA". It matches the Rfam family "Bacterial large subunit ribosomal RNA", at positions 12 to 667 of the family's 2925-position model. The record is from RNAcentral. Lineage: Bacteria; Bacillati; Bacillota; Bacilli; Caryophanales; Staphylococcaceae.
UAAGGGCGCACGGUGGAUGCCUUGGCACUAGAAGCCGAUGAAGGACGUUACUAACGACGAUAUGCUUUGGGGAGCUGUAAGUAAGCUUUGAUCCAGAGAUUUCCGAAUGGGGAAACCCAGCAUGAGUUAUGUCAUGUUAUCGAUAUGUGAAUACAUAGCAUAUCAGAAGGCACACCCGGAGAACUGAAACAUCUUAGUACCCGGAGGAAGAGAAAGAAAAUUCGAUUCCCUUAGUAGCGGCGAGCGAAACGGGAAGAGCCCAAACCAACAAGCUUGCUUGUUGGGGUUGUAGGACACUCUAUACGGAGUUACAAAGGACGACAUUAGACGAAUCAUCUGGAAAGAUGAAUCAAAGAAGGUAAUAAUCCUGUAGUCGAAAAUGUUGUCUCUCUUGAGUGGAUCCUGAGUACGACGGAGCACGUGAAAUUCCGUCGGAAUCUGGGAGGACCAUCUCCUAAGGCUAAAUACUCUCUAGUGACCGAUAGUGAACCAGUACCGUGAGGGAAAGGUGAAAAGCACCCCGGAAGGGGAGUGAAAUAGAACCUGAAACCGUGUGCUUACAAGUAGUCAGAGCCCGUUAAUGGGUGAUGGCGUGCCUUUUGUAGAAUGAACCGGCGAGUUACGAUUUGAUGCAAGGUUAAGCAGUAAAUGUGGAGCC